RNAcentral lists this ribosomal RNA (1473 nucleotides) under uncultured prokaryote. Its description in RNAcentral is "partial 16S ribosomal RNA". It matches the Rfam family "Bacterial small subunit ribosomal RNA". The record is from RNAcentral.
AGAGUUUGAUCCUGGCUCAGAACGAACGCUGGCGGUAUGCUUAACACAUGCAAGUCGAACGCGAAAGUCCCUUCGGGGACCGGUAGAGUGGCGCACGGGUGAGUAACGCGUAGAUAACCUGCCCCCAUGUCCGGGACAACUUUUCGAAAGGAAGGCUAAUACCGGAUAAUACCUGGAGCCUAGUGGCUCUCGGUUGAAAGAUUUUUCGCUUGGGGAUGGGUCUGCGUAGCAUUAGCUAGUUGGUAGGGUAAAGGCCUACCAAGGCUACGAUGCUUAGCGGGUCUGAGAGGAUGAUCCGCCACACUGGAACUGAGACACGGUCCAGACUCCUACGGGAGGCAGCAGUGGGGAAUUUUGCGCAAUGGACGAAAGUCUGACGCAGCAAUACCGCGUGAGUGAAGAAGGCCCUUGGGUCGUAAAGUCUUUGUUUAGGGGAAGAUAAUGACGGUACCCUAAGAAUAAGCACCGGCUAACUCCGUGCCAGCAGCCGCGGUAAUACGGAGGGUGCAAGCGUUGUUCGGAUUUACUGGGCGUAAAGGGCGCGUAGGCGGCCAGAUAAGUUAAGGGUGAAAUCCCGGGGCUCAACCCCGGAACUGCUCUUAAAACUGUUUGGCUAGAGACAAAUAGAGGUGGGUGGAAUUCCAGGUGUAGAGGUGAAAUUCGUAGAUAUCUGGAGGAACACCGGUGGCGAAGGCGGCCCACUGGAUUUGUUCUGACGCUAAGGCGCGAAAGCAUGGGGAGCAAACGGGAUUAGAUACCCCGGUAGUCCAUGCCGUAAACGAUGAAUACCAGCUGUUUGACCCAUCGACCGGUCAAGUGGCGCAGCUAACGCGAUGAGUAUUCCGCCUGGGAAGUACGGUCGCAAGACUAAAACUCAAAGGAAUUGACGGGGGCCCGCACAAGCGGUGGAGCAUGUGGUUUAAUUCGACGCAACGCGAAGAACCUUACCUGGGUUUGACAUCCCCGGACCACCCUGGAGACAGGGUUUUCUCUUCGGAGACCGGGUGACAGGUGCUGCAUGGCUGUCGUCAGCUCGUGUCGUGAGAUGUUGGGUUAAGUCCCGCAACGAGCGCAACCCUUGUCCUUAGUUGCCAGCACGUAAUGGUGGGAACUCAGGGAGACUGCCUGUGUCAAGCAGGAGGAAGGUGGGGAUGACGUCAAGUCCUCAUGGCCUUUAUAUCCUGGGCUACACACGUGCUACAAUGGCAAUUACAAAGAGCAGCGAGACCGCGAGGUGGAGCGAAUCUCAAAAAAAUUGUCUCAGUUCGGAUCGCAGUCUGCAACUCGACUGCGUGAAGUUGGAAUCGCUAGUAAUCGUAGAUCAGAACGCUACGGUGAAUACGUUCCCGGGUCUUGUACACACCGCCCGUCACACCAUGGGAGUUGACAUUGGCAGAAAACACUGAGCUAACCUUCGGGAGGCAGGUGUUCAAGCUGGUGGCGAUGACUGGGGUGAGUCGUAACAAGGUAACC